AAGAAGGGGUGACCCAUCAUCUACCUCACUCAAACUUUUUCUUUUUACCCAAACCCUUUCGUAGAGAGAGAGUGAAGAUUGUAAAAGAAAAAUCCUCCAUUUUGGACAAAAAUCUUCAAGCCAUGGGUUGAAUCUCUAGUUUUUCCUCCGAUUAACAGGUAUUACAUGAGCUUCUAUCAUUUUCAAACAUCUAAAUCAGUUUUUAAUUAGUAAUGAAACUAAAAAAUCUCUCUCUAAAAAUAUACGUAUAUACCUAUGUGUAUAUAUGCCUUUUUAACUUCAUAUCUUUCUUGUUCUAGCUACUGGAGUAUUAUGAAAUAGUUUUUGGAGUAGAGAUCAAGGAGAUACAUACUAACCCCAAUUUCGGAAAAACCCUAGCUUGAUUAAGGUAAGGAAUUUUGUUUUGUUUCACCAAAUUCAGGUUAUAUGUAUUGUUUGUAUAUAUAUAUGAGUAUAUUUGUGUUUUCAUUUGUUGGACUGCUAGAUAAAUUUGGGAAAAUAGAAUUUCCAGAGUCUUUUUCGACAGGCCCUUGUUGUUCAAAUGUCUUGAAAAUUUUAUGGUGUAUAUAUUGGAGUGUUUUGAACUUACACACAAAUUUUUGAGUCUUUUGGAUAAUGUUUACUGCUCUUUUAAAAUCAAAAACUUUUACUGGCAAUCUCUGUCAAAAUGUUCUGUAUGACAGAGACUUGAGCCAUCCAUUUCAGUAGUUUCCUGUUGACAAAUACCUCCGAAUUUUUUUU
RNAcentral lists this long non-coding RNA (741 nucleotides) under Salvia miltiorrhiza (redroot sage). RNAcentral's name for it is "long non-coding RNA (SMIL_LNC007759)". Lineage: Eukaryota; Viridiplantae; Streptophyta; Magnoliopsida; Lamiales; Lamiaceae. The record is from RNAcentral.